GACGAACGCUGGCGGCGUGCUUAACACAUGCAAGUCGAACGGAAAGGCCCUGCUUUUGUGGGGUGCUCGAGUGGCGAACGGGUGAGUAACACGUGAGUAACCUGCCCUUGACUUUGGGAUAACUUCAGGAAACUGGGGCUAAUACCGGAUAGGAGCUCCUGCUGCAUGGUGGGGGUUGGAAAGUUUCGGCGGUUGGGGAUGGACUCGCGGCCUAUCAGCUUGUUGGUGGGGUAGUGGCUUACCAAGGCUUUGACGGGUAGCCGGCCUGAGAGGGUGACCGGCCACAUUGGGACUGAGAUACGGCCCAGACUACUACGGGAGGCAGCAGUGGGGAAUAUUGCACAAUGGGCGGAAGCCUGAUGCAGCAACGCCGCGUGCGGGAUGACGGCCUUCGGGUUGUAAACCGCUUUCGCCUGUGACGAAGCGUGAGUGACGGUAAUGGGUAAAGAAGCACCGGCUAACUACGUG
RNAcentral lists this ribosomal RNA (468 nucleotides) under uncultured bacterium. RNAcentral's name for it is "partial 16S ribosomal RNA". It matches the Rfam family "Bacterial small subunit ribosomal RNA", at positions 28 to 507 of the family's 1533-position model. The record is from RNAcentral.